UUAAGCGACUAAGCGUACACGGUGGAUGCCCUGGCAGUCAGAGGCGAUGAAGGGCGUGCUAAUCUGCGAUAAGCGCCGGUAAGGUGAUAUGAACCGUUAUAACCGGCGAUACCCGAAUGGGGAAACCCAGUGUGAUUCGUCACACUAUCAUUAACUGAAUCCAUAGGUUAAUGAGGCGAACCGGGGGAACUGAAACAUCUAAGUACCCCGAGGAAAAGAAAUCAACCGAGAUUCCCCCAGUAGCGGCGAGCGAACGGGGAGGAGCCCAGAGCCUGAAUCAGCAUGUGUGUUAGUGGAAGCGUCUGGAAAGGCGCGCGAUACAGGGUGACAGCCCCGUACACAAAAGCGCAUGUGCUGUGAGCUCGAUGAGUAGGGCGGGACACGUGGUAUCCUGUCUGAAUAUGGGGGGACCAUCCUCCAAGGCUAAAUACUCCUGACUGACCGAUAGUGAACCAGUACCGUGAGGGAAAGGCGAAAAGAACCCCGGCGAGGGGAGUGAAAAAGAACCUGAAACCGUGUACGUACAAGCAGUGGGAGCACAGGUUUACCUGUGUGACUGCGUACCUUUUGUAUAAUGGGUCAGCGACUUAUAUUCUGUAGCAAGGUUAACCGAAUAGGGGAGCCGGAGGGAAACCGAGUCUUAACCGGGCGUUAAGUUGCAGGGUAUAGACCCGAAACCCGGUGAUCUAGCCAUGGGCAGGUUGAAGGUUGGGUAACACUAACUGGAGGACCGAACCGACUAAUGUUGAAAAAUUAGCGGAUGACCUGUGGCUGGGGGUGAAAGGCCAAUCAAACCGGGAGAUAGCUGGUUCUCCCCGAAAGCUAUUUAGGUAGCGCCUCGUGAAUUCAUCUCCGGGGGUAGAGCACUGUUUCGGCUAGGGGGCCAUCCCGGCUUACCAACCCGAUGCAAACUGCGAAUACCGGAGAAUGUUAUCACGGGAGACACACGGCGGGUGCUAACGUCCGUCGUGAAGAGGGAAACAACCCAGACCGCCAGCUAAGGUCCCAAAGUCAUGGUUAAGUGGGAAACGAUGUGGGAAGGCCCAGACAGCCAGGAUGUUGGCUUAGAAGCAGCCAUCAUUUAAAGAAAGCGUAAUAGCUCACUGGUCGAGUCGGCCUGCGCGGAAGAUGUAACGGGGCUAAACCAUGCACCGAAGCUGCGGCAGCGAACGUAUCACCCAAGACAACUUUACGGAGUUGACGAUUGACGGAGCGAAGCGACGUCAAAGCGUUCAUUAAAGUCGAGUUGGCUUAGGGAUACGUUCGUUGGGUAGGGGAGCGUUCUGUAAGCCUGUGAAGGUGUGUCGUGAGGCAUGCUGGAGGUAUCAGAAGUGCGAAUGCUGACAUAAGUAACGAUAAAGCGGGUGAAAAGCCCGCUCGCCGGAAGACCAAGGGUUCCUGUCCAACGUUAAUCGGGGCAGGGUGAGUCGACCCCUAAGGCGAGGCCGAAAGGCGUAGUCGAUGGGAAACGGGUUAAUAUUCCCGUACUUGGUGUUACUGCGAAGGGGGGACGGAGAAGGCUAUGUUGGCCGGGCGACGGUUGUCCCGGUUUAAGCGUGUAGGUGUGUGUUCCAGGUAAAUCCGGUUCACUUUAACACUGAGGCGUGACGACGAGGCACUACGGUGCUGAAGCAACAAAUGCCCUGCUUCCAGGAAAAGCCUCUAAGCAUCAGGUAACAUCAAAUCGUACCCCAAACCGACACAGGUGGUCAGGUAGAGAAUACCAAGGCGCUUGAGAGAACUCGGGUGAAGGAACUAGGCAAAAUGGUGCCGUAACUUCGGGAGAAGGCACGCUGACACGUAGGUGAAGUGAUUUACUCAUGGAGCUGAAGUCAGUCGAAGAUACCAGCUGGCUGCAACUGUUUAUUAAAAACACAGCACUGUGCAAACACGAAAGUGGACGUAUACGGUGUGACGCCUGCCCGGUGCCGGAAGGUUAAUUGAUGGGGUCAGCGCAAGCGAAGCUCCUGAUCGAAGCCCCGGUAAACGGCGGCCGUAACUAUAACGGUCCUAAGGUAGCGAAAUUCCUUGUCGGGUAAGUUCCGACCUGCACGAAUGGCGUAAUGAUGGCCAGGCUGUCUCCACCCGAGACUCAGUGAAAUUGAACUCGCUGUGAAGAUGCAGUGUACCCGCGGCAAGACGGAAAGACCCCGUGAACCUUUACUAUAGCUUGACACUGAACAUUGAGCCUUGAUGUGUAGGAUAGGUGGGAGGCUUUGAAGUGUGGACGCCAGUCUGCAUGGAGCCGACCUUGAAAUACCACCCUUUAAUGUUUGAUGUUCUAACGUGGACCCGUAAUCCGGGUUGCGGACAGUGUCUGGUGGGUAGUUUGACUGGGGCGGUCUCCUCCUAAAGAGUAACGGAGGAGCACGAAGGUUGGCUAAUCCUGGUCGGACAUCAGGAGGUUAGUGCAAUGGCAUAAGCCAGCUUGACUGCGAGCGUGACGGCGCGAGCAGGUGCGAAAGCAGGUCAUAGUGAUCCGGUGGUUCUGAAUGGAAGGGCCAUCGCUCAACGGAUAAAAGGUACUCCGGGGAUAACAGGCUGAUACCGCCCAAGAGUUCAUAUCGACGGCGGUGUUUGGCACCUCGAUGUCGGCUCAUCACAUCCUGGGGCUGAAGUAGGUCCCAAGGGUAUGGCUGUUCGCCAUUUAAAGUGGUACGCGAGCUGGGUUUAGAACGUCGUGAGACAGUUCGGUCCCUAUCUGCCGUGGGCGCUGGAGAACUGAGGGGGGCUGCUCCUAGUACGAGAGGACCGGAGUGGACGCAUCACUGGUGUUCGGGUUGUCAUGCCAAUGGCACUGCCCGGUAGCUAAAUGCGGAAGAGAUAAGUGCUGAAAGCAUCUAAGCACGAAACUUGCCCCGAGAUGAGUUCUCCCUGAGACUUAGAGUCUCCUGAAGGAACGUUGAAGACGACGACGUUGAUAGGCCGGGUGUGUAAGCGCAGCGAUGCGUUGAGCUAACCGGUACUAAUGAACCGUGAGGCUUAACCUU
Molecule: ribosomal RNA, 2990 nt
Filed under: Salmonella enterica
Lineage: Bacteria; Pseudomonadati; Pseudomonadota; Gammaproteobacteria; Enterobacterales; Enterobacteriaceae
Description: bacterial LSU rRNA
Rfam family: Bacterial large subunit ribosomal RNA
Source: RNAcentral